AUCUACUUCUCCUCAACAUAUGUUAUAAGACUCUUAUCUAAUCAACAAUCUGUCAUACUCAUCUCCAUUAAUCUCUGUUUCUCCUCAAAUUUCUCUUUCCUCUUGGUGUAUUCAUUAGAUACAGUAAGUUUUUCUUCUCCUCCACAAAAAUGACCUAUGAUGGUGACUUUUCUCAUUCUUCUUUGGAUAUAUUUAGGUCUGCAUGUCAUUCAAUUUAAGAAUAAUUUUGAUUUUUAUCUUAAAAGUUGUUUCUCUUUCAUUGUUAUAGGUGUAGAAAAGAUAAAAUUUAAGAUUAUCGGUAUCUAGUUUCAAAGUGUUGAUGAAAAUUUGUCCUCUGCCGGUGACCCAAUUAGCUUAAGAUUUUGACUCCACAAAUUAAUGCGAUUAGUUAAACAAUUUUGCUAAAAAAAACAAGUUACACUAUUCUCUUUGUCUUAUUUUCAUUCUAAUUUUUAUUUUCCCAAAUGAUAUAUUGAUGUCUCAAAUGUAUGCCAUUUUAUCCGAGUGAUUGUUCUGUUACAGUCAUUUACCAUUGUCUGCAUUUUUUUUGUGUAAUUUGUAUGUAUUGUUUUCAGAUUUUCUUAGCAAAAUUUUUUAACUAAUCACAUUAAUUUUGCGGAGUCAAAAUCUUAAGCUAAUUGGAUCGCCGACAGAGGACAAAUUGUCAUCAACACUUUGAAGCUAAAUAUUUCUUUACAUAUCAAUGAAAGAGAAAUAAAUUUCAAGAUAAGAAGCAAAUUAUCCUUUAAUUGAUGACAUGCAGACCUAAAUAUCCAAAGAAGAAUGAAAAUAGCCAACAUCAUCGGCCCUUUCUCAAGAGUUGGACACAUUAGGAAGAGAAAUUGGGGAAAAGGGAGAAAAAGAACUUAUUGUAGGUAAUGAAUAAAAAUUUGAGGAGAACUAGAGUUUAAUAUAGAUGAAUAUGACACAUUGUUGAUCAGAGAAGAGUCUCAGAGAUUAUGUGAGGAGAAGUCGAUUAAAACAAUGAAUUAGAGGAUCUUUAAAAGUGAAAUAGUAAAACUACCUAUGUGCCCUUGUUCAUCACUUAUAAGUCUCCAAAAUUUAAUGAUAAAAUUACACAGUUUCUCUUGUUAGUCCUUUAGAAGUGUCACUUCUAAACAAGAGUAAAGUAAUUUAAAAAAUCACGAAGUACUCGAAACAAGGACGCAAGAAAAUACAGAUAAUGUGUAUGUCCAAAAAAGAACUUUUGAAAGAAAUUUGUGUCUUCGUACUAGAUAUGUAAAGAUAUCACCCGAAAGAAAGAAAUUAUUUUUAUCCUAUGUAAGAGAAAAAGGGCUGAAUCGAAAGACAAAAACUCCUUCGUCAAUGAAAUAGUAAUAACACUCUUACAAUUAGAACUUCUUUGUUAUCUCCUCAAGAAGCUUCUGCAACUACAAACCUACCAGUUACCUCAAGUAGAGGAGAAUUUAUAAUUACUUGCUUAUCUGCCUUCAAAGUAGGAUCAACAUCGGGUGCAUCUGAUGCUUCAAGUUGAUUAAGUUCAAGACGUACUGCAAAUAGAGGUAUACAUCUUUCUACCAAAGUAAUAAAAAACAUGUAUAUAUAACAAAUAAAUGCUUUUUAUCAUGUACAUGUACAAAUAAGUUAGAAGUCAAUCUACAAAA
Long non-coding RNA from Solanum pennellii, 1625 nucleotides. RefSeq lists it as uncharacterized. The transcript is spliced from 3 exons. The record is from RefSeq and is a predicted model, not a curated record. NCBI's taxonomy places the organism in Eukaryota, Viridiplantae, Streptophyta, Magnoliopsida, Solanales, Solanaceae.